This is a long non-coding RNA of Alosa sapidissima (American shad), 619 nucleotides long. RefSeq lists it as uncharacterized. NCBI's taxonomy places the organism in Eukaryota, Metazoa, Chordata, Actinopteri, Clupeiformes, Clupeidae. The record is from RefSeq and is a predicted model, not a curated record. The transcript is spliced from 3 exons.
GGCCGUUCCUGGGUCCUCAAUCUCAGGGCUCUACAUAAAAAAGUCAGGAAUUUGACAUCUCAGCAUUGAACUUCCUACUCAGUCUGCUGCCACUAAAACUUCUCAUUGUCCAGUCUCAGAAGAGCAAAUGUAACGGCAGCAAUGGGGUUAUGCAAGGAUACUCGAGGAUGUAGUAAUCACACGACAGCUACAGCUCAACAUAACCUACAGCGCAGAGUGGUGAGUCAGGGGCAAACACACACAAACUAUCCCUUAAGAUUGAGAGGGGGGUUAGAUUUUUCAACACCCAGAGACGCACGCCACAGGAAGUGCGUCACAUCGAAAGUUACAUACUCCAAUCCACCGAUAGGCCAAUCAGUGAGAGGGGGUUUGCUCUUUCAACGUGCGUCACACCCACUGUUACAUACGCCGCCUAUCCAACAAUAUGGCUAUCAGCAAUAAACAAAGGGACAUACCAAAAGUGAGUGACAGCUGUAAGCAUGCUUCGGGUAAACUUCAUCAGGCCUUCGGAUUGCCUAUAUUUUAUUUGCACGAGGAUAUAGGAAGUUAAGGAAUUCUCUAUAUCUAAUUCUUAUAGCAAAAUUGUUGUGUUGGUUGUGAGCUUUGUGAAUUAAUAUGU